GUCUACGGCCAUACCACCCUGAACGUGCCCGAUCUCGUCUGAUCUCAGAAGCUAAGCAGGGUCGGGCCUGGUUAGUACUUGGAUGGGAGAAAUAAAUGUUUUGUUCUCAUGAACAUGAAUUUGCCAUUGAGU
This 132-nucleotide ribosomal RNA is filed under the name Neogale vison (American mink). Lineage: Eukaryota; Metazoa; Chordata; Mammalia; Carnivora; Mustelidae. The record is from RNAcentral.